Oreochromis aureus is the source of this 1276-nucleotide long non-coding RNA. RefSeq lists it as uncharacterized. The record is from RefSeq and is a predicted model, not a curated record. The transcript has 3 exons. NCBI's taxonomy places the organism in Eukaryota, Metazoa, Chordata, Actinopteri, Cichliformes, Cichlidae.
UCGAUUUUUGGUUACCUUUCAGAUUUCAAGGAGUUGUAGUGGGUGCAGCUGUUGUAGCUGUUGAUUCUGCGAAGAAGACUGAGCCAUCCCGCAGCGAUGUUAAAGACUCAUUGCCUGCUAUCACAAAUGCUUGAUUGAAUUUCUUGGAGUCAAAAGUGACACAACCAGUUAUUAGGGUUUAGGGUGUAAUUACCUUUUCACACAGGACCAGGUAGAUUUGAAUACAUUUCUUCAUUCUACAGUUUCUAUGUCACCAAAUACACCUUUUAAGAUCUUGGGGUUUUUUUUCUUUUUUUAGCUCAGAACGUAGUAGCAUAAUUUUCAAACAAUAAGUCAACUAUACCAUUACUUAAGUAUAGCACAUGACUUUAACAAAAUAAUAACAUAAGAAAUCAACAAUAUAAAGUAACACAAAAUGCUGGGUCACAGACCCACCCCUGAACGGUGGUAAUAUACAACACCUGAUUAUUUUCUAGUUUCUUUACAUUUUCUAAAAAGCCAGAAGAUAGAUAUAUAGAUAGAUAGGACCUGGUGAUCAUUACCCCUACAUUUUAAAGGGUAGACAAUUAUACUCAAAGGAACAUACACAAACAACAUUUCUUUUGUAUGUGACUCAUACCUGGGCAAUCUCACAUCACUGUGUUGCAGCAAAAAGGAUUAAUCAGGUGUGUCCCUGAUUAUUACCUAAUUGUGUUUACCCUUGUUAAGAUGAGAAGUUUUUCUAAGAAUUACAAUUUCCCAACAAUUACGCAAAUGAGGUUAAAUCAUCUCUUGCAACUGUGUAUAAAAAGCUCUGCUGUCUGUACAACAUUACCACAAUCAUCUCUGAGACAGUCUGCUGAAGUUGUGAAGACCUGACGGUAACAUUUCUUAUCAAUUUUUUAUUGCUUCUCUGUUUUCUGUAUAAUGUUGGUGGAAUGGUGAUUUUGCAGAUGGUUUGGACCACAUCUCAUCAGAAUUAUUGUUAACAGGUGAAAUCACUGAAACCAUGAUCAAGGUUGUGUUUCUGCUUGGAUGCCUGCUGAGCCUUGCUCUGGCAAAUCCUAAUGACUCAGCACACGAGCGCGAUGCACGUUCUUCAUCUGAGGAGGGGAGUUUUGGGACCCUAAAUCGUCUUACCCUGCUACUACCUCUUCUACAGAAUCCACUACUUCUGCAGAAUUCAACGCUCCUUGCUUUGCUUCUUGCUGCUAUACGAUAAGCACCUCCUUAACCUACAGCUAUUACCCACACAAAGGAUGAAUUGAAAAGGAAUGAACAAUGAAUAAAAACUUUU